AAAGUCCUAGCUUAAUUAAAGUACCUGGGUUGCAUUCAGGAAAUGCAGGGUAAUAUCCUGCGGAUUUUA
RNAcentral lists this transfer RNA (69 nucleotides) under Mohoua novaeseelandiae. RNAcentral's name for it is "tRNA-Ala". It matches the Rfam family "tRNA". From Rfam's summary of the family: Transfer RNA (tRNA) molecules are approximately 80 nucleotides in length. Their secondary structure includes four short double-helical elements and three loops (D, anti-codon, and T loops). The record is from RNAcentral. Lineage: Eukaryota; Metazoa; Chordata; Aves; Passeriformes; Acanthizidae.